AUCGAUGAAGAACGCAGCGAAAUGCGAUAAGUAAUGCGAAUUGCAGAAUUCAGUGAGUCAUCGAAUCUUUGAACGCAUAUUGCGCCCUUUGGUAUUCCGAAGGGCAUGCCUGUUCGAGCGUCAUUAUCACCAAUCAAGCCUGGCUUGUCGUUGGACCCCUUUUGCUGCUGAAAUACGUGGCAGGUCCGAAAGAUAAUGACGGCGUCGUGUUUGACCCUAGAUGCAACGAGCUUUUCAUAGCACGCAUUGAAGUGGUCGGCCGGCCCAGUCUUUAACCAUUAUUUUCUUAAGGUUGACCUCGGAUCAGGUAGGAAUACCCGCUGAACUUAAGCAUAUCAAUAAGCGGAGGAAAAGAAACCAACAGGGAUUACCCUAGUAACGGCGAGUGAAGCGGUAACAGCUCAAAUUUGAAAUCUGACCUUCACGGGUUCGAGUUGUAAUUUGUAGAGGUGUUUUCGGAUAAGGCUUUGGUUUAAGUUUCUUGGAACAGAACGUCAUAGAGGGUGAGAGUCCCGUCUAGAGCCGAUAGCCGCGUCCAUGUGAAACUCCUUCAACGAGUCGAGUUGUUUGGGAAUGCAGCUCAAAAUGGGUGGUAAAUUUCAUCUAAAGCUAAAUAUUGGCCAGAGACCGAUAGCGCACAAGUAGAGUGAUCGAAAGAUGAAAAGCACUUUGAAAAGAGAGUUAAACAGUAUGUGAAAUUGUUGAAAGGGAAGCGCUUGCAACCAGACUUGUGUUUAACGGUUCCCCCGAUCUUUUGACCGGGCUAUUCCGUUAUAUCCAGGCCAGCAUCGGUUCGGGUGGUCGGUGAAAGACUUUGGGAAUGUAUCUACCUUCGGGUCGACUUAUAGCCUAGAGUGUAAUGCGGCCUACCUGGACCGAGGAACGCGCUUUUGCUCGGAUGCUGGCGUAAUGGUUGUAAGCGGCCCGUCUUGAAACACGG
RNAcentral lists this ribosomal RNA (940 nucleotides) under uncultured fungus. RNAcentral's name for it is "eukaryotic LSU rRNA". The stretch from base 294 to 940 matches the Rfam family "Eukaryotic large subunit ribosomal RNA", at positions 1 to 664 of the family's 3401-position model. Lineage: Eukaryota; Fungi. The record is from RNAcentral.